RNAcentral lists this long non-coding RNA (3444 nucleotides) under Elaeis guineensis (African oil palm). RNAcentral describes it as "long non-coding RNA (EGUI_LNC007516)". The record is from RNAcentral. Lineage: Eukaryota; Viridiplantae; Streptophyta; Magnoliopsida; Arecales; Arecaceae.
UCGCAACAGCGGGUCUCGGUUAUGAGGUGAACAUGGGGAAAUUACCUGGCACUCAGGUUUUUCCUGGGCAAUUCAUCCUUGGCUUUAAUACUUAUUUUCUGAAAAUUUCCAUAUGUUAGAUGAUGUCGUUAGGAGAAUCAAAAACUGAAAAGUGUAUGGUAAUGCUAAUGCUGACAUUCUCUUAUUUUGGCAAUGUGUGGAUAACCGGAUGCUAUUUCAGAUCUGCUAUCUGGACUUCCUACUUCUAAAUGGCUUUGUAGCAUGAUUCAAGGUAGAGAGCACUGAUUUUACUGAAUUGAGUCUCCAGGACGACAACAUAUGUGGAGCUGCAACCGGUUGGGUAAUGGUUCACACUGAUUAUAGGGUAGUAGUGAAGUCCAAUCUCUUUGGACAUGGAUUGAACCCUAACUAAUUUAUGAAUUGAAAUACUUGCAGACGGUCUUGGUCGUCAUCUUUUUCUUCUUCCUCCCUUCCUAUUUAUUUAAUCUGCCUUGUCCAAGAGGCAGGUGGUGAUAUUUCCCACCUCAUGGCAUCUCUUUCCUUUCUUCCAAGCUCUAACCUUUGCUUUCAUAGAGAUUACUUCCACAUUAGACCUUUGAGUCUACAAUAGAUAUUUCUUUACAUCACUUGCCAUUUAGGCUUCUUCAACGAGCUCUGAUUCCAAUUUGAAGGAGGGUGGGUUAUAUUAUAAUAAUAUGAAAAUGAUAGGGUUGACAUUGCGUGGCUCGACAUGUAGAAGAUAUUUUUAAUUUCAAAUGACAUGUGGAAAAGUAUUCUUUUUAGCCAAGAAAAAAAGAAGAGAAAAGAAAGAAACCCUGCAGGAGGAAGGUAUAUUUUUAGCCAAGGGGAAAAAAAACGGUAAGGUAUAUUUUUAGCCAAGAAAAAAAAAUCCUGUAGCAGAAAAUGGGAGAGAGAUCGAGCAACAAAGUGUGGUAGAUUAUUGAGAGGACUUGGGGAUUUGGCGGUAUAAUCGCGAAGAGAGAACAUUUUCUUUUAGGAAACUGGAUAAUUCGGUCUUUCGUUGGUCGUAGGCAAUUACAGGGCGAGGGAAAUCAGGGGGUAAGUUAGGCCCAGCGGCGGCUGGGCAGCUUCUCUAUAACUUUUUAAUACAGAGGAAAGAAUGUGGUGACCAAAUAUCUAUGGCAACGUAGAAUUGAAGUAGACGUCUAUUAAAAUUUAAUCCGUUGCAUCUAAAACUUUAAUGCCUAUUAAAUGUGUGCAACUUUUUCAGACAUUCAAGUUAGACUUGGUCUAAUAUCUUGCCAUGAAAAAUCUGGUACAUGUCUCUCUUUUUAAUCAUCAUUUCGGUGGCUAGCGACGACAAACUUGUGUCGAUACAUUUAACAUCACAAUGAAAAGCCCUUCUCUCCGAGCUCAAACUGAUUAGCUUGUCCGUGAGGACAAACCAAGCCUCGAGAAUUUUGCGAGGGAACAUCCAUACGCCAUACCAUCUGGCAAACCAAAACAAGAUUGCACCUGUGGCCCAUGGUAUCCAGCAACGUCAUCAUUUUAAUUACAAAAAGCCCUCAUUUUAAACUAACUAGGGAGGACAAGAAAAGUAACUGUUUAUAAUUACUCUGUAAUUAUUUACUGAAUUUUCAAUUAUAUCAUGACGAAAAUCUACAGUAAGAUCAAUCUCAUGAGAUUAUAUGAACUCACUGUGUGAAGUCAUGCCUUUGUUUUCUUUUUUGGCGUUAGAUCACUUUGUGCUCACACAGAGAUUUCAUGCUUCCUACAAACACGCCAAGAAUUAUUUUUAUUUACGGUAUGAGACAUGAUGUAGAUUUAGUAUAUCUUAGCCCAAGAUUAUUAUUUUGCUAAUUGGUUUAAUCCAUAUAACCCAGAUUUGGGCUUCAUUUCCCUCAAUACCCUCAAUUCUGGCUAACAAUAAUAAAUUGUCUUCACCUUCUAGCAGAAUCUAGCAGUUUGAGAAACCACGACCACCUAAUCAGGAGAUUGACAGUUACUACACAUUUAUUUCUUAUAGGAUGUUUGGCCAAGAAGCUAGCAAAUAAAACGUAUUAGACUGAACUAUAGACUUCUAAACAAUAAGAAAAUAAAAAUGAAGUAUUGACUUGAACUGGAAUGGUUGGUUAAUAUUCUCAGAAAAGUUCAUAUUUUAGUCUGUCUUGUUUACGCUUUUUUUCUUUUUUUGAUAAGAAGAGAAAGUGAUCAGUCUCGGCGGAUUCCUUUUGCAAGUGGGAACACCUUGAUUUGAAUGUAGCCGUCGAACCACUGUAACUGUCCUCGUGGGUCUAAAAUUAGGCCUUCUUAUGGGUCCGGUGUGUAUCCUUUACAUGAAAGAAUGAUUCAUCUCUUUUUGCGAUGCCAACUAUUGGAUUGUACAAUUGCUUUUUCGAGAUCUAUAUGGGUGGAGGAAGAAAAAGAUUUGAGCAUUUUGAAAUUCAUAUCAUAUACAAUUUAAUGGUUGAGGUUGCAAAAGAAGACCAAUUCUCCUUUCAUAUGAAAGGUACAACCCGAACUCCUCCCGUGGAUAAAUCCCUUUAGUAGGCCAUUCCAUACAGGCACGAGACGCUAAGUGGUCUCUUUGGUCCAAGAUCUUAACCCAUCAGUCUCUAUCCGUUGUCCUGAUACAGUAGGAAUGGUCAAGAUCAUUCAUUCCAUAUGAACAUAGAGACCUUUUAGAAUCUCAAUUGUCAUCACGCAAACCCGCAAAGCCUGAAAUCUGCGAUCCAUCUUCAUAUGCUUGGAUGUCACAAUUUGAUCUACUGUUGCUCAUUUAAGUUUCAAUUCAUGGUACGCUAUAUUACAGUUUGGAAAAUUGAAAUGGAUCUGAUUCCCACAGUUUGUCCAAAAAAGUUCAUAAUUUUGCCACAUUGAGGGUCCGUUCGUUUCUACCGUUACUAUUUUGAUUGAAUUAUUCUCUAUCUUUAGAUCAAUGAGAGUUUUUGAAAAAAAAAUUUAAAAAUAAUUCUGACUCCGAUAUUAUGUGCAGUUUAGUGCUUCAUUUCUUUGCAGAAAUUACUCAUCAAAAUAAUUAUGCAAAGUUAAGUAGUGACUUAGUUUGAUUGGUCCAUCUAAAAUUGCUUUAGAAAUACAAUCAUCAAUUUUUUAUCGAAAAAAAUUUAAAGUAGUGUAUAUGUUGGGCUGCAUAUAUUAUUGAUUUUGAUGGUUUGCUCGAUAAGGCCUUUUGGUCAAUUGAGCUUAUCCCAUGGGUGUUCUCAGCUUUUAUUAAAUGCUAACGUGUCAACGGGAUCCUUUGCCUUGCUCAAAUAGAUAAACCAUGGUAAAACUUAUAGAAUGGUGAUACAAAAUGAUUAUUUUGCUGGGCCCAGAAUAAAAUUUGUGACAUCAUUCUCAUCACAUCAACCGAUAGCUCACCUUGAUUAAGUACUAACAUGUCAACAAUGUACUACUUUGCCUUGCUCAAGUAGCUAAACCUCGGUGGAACAUAUGCAGUGGUCAUAGAAAAUUCCCGUUUUG